GGCUACACACGUGCUACAAUGGGUAGUACAGAGAGUCGCAAAGCCGUGAGGUGGAGCUAAUCUCAGAAAACUAUUCUUAGUUCGGAUUGUACUCUGCAACUCGAGUACAUGAAGUUGGAAUCGCUAGUAAUCGCGAAUCAGCAAUGUCGCGGUGAAUACGUUCUUGGGUCUUGUACACACCGCCCGUCACACCACGAGAGUUGGUUGCACCUGAAGUAGCAGGCCUAACCGCAAGGAGGGAUGCUCCGAGGGUGUGAUUAGCGAUUGGGGUGAAGUCGUAACAAGGUAUCCGUACGGGAACGU
Molecule: ribosomal RNA, 303 nt
Filed under: uncultured Fusobacterium sp.
Lineage: Bacteria; Fusobacteriati; Fusobacteriota; Fusobacteriia; Fusobacteriales; Fusobacteriaceae
Description: bacterial SSU rRNA
Rfam family: Bacterial small subunit ribosomal RNA
Source: RNAcentral